RNAcentral lists this ribosomal RNA (253 nucleotides) under uncultured bacterium. Its description in RNAcentral is "partial 16S ribosomal RNA". It matches the Rfam family "Bacterial small subunit ribosomal RNA", at positions 524 to 776 of the family's 1533-position model. The record is from RNAcentral.
UACAGAGGUCUCAAGCGUUGUUCGGAUUCAUUGGGCGUAAAGGGUGCGUAGGCGGCUCGGUAAGUCGGGUGUGAAAUCUUGGAGCUUAACUCCGAAACUGCAUUCGAUACUGCCGUGCUUGAGGACGGGAGAGGAGACUGGAAUUUACGGUGUAGCGGUGAAAUGCGUAGAUAUCGUAAGGAAGACCAGUGGCGAAGGCGGGUCUCUGGACAGUUCCUGACGCUGAGGCACGAAGGUCAGGGGAGCAAACGGG